RNAcentral lists this ribosomal RNA (492 nucleotides) under uncultured bacterium. RNAcentral describes it as "partial 16S ribosomal RNA". It matches the Rfam family "Bacterial small subunit ribosomal RNA", at positions 29 to 507 of the family's 1533-position model. The record is from RNAcentral.
AGUGAACGCUGGCGGUAGGCCUAACACAUGCAAGUCGAACGGCAGCACAGUAAGAGCUUGCUCUUACGGGUGGCGAGUGGCGGACGGGUGAGGAAUACAUCGGAAUCUACUUUUUCGUGGGUGAUAACGUAGGGAAACUUACGCUAAUACCGCAUACGACCUACGGGUGAAAGCAGGGGAUCUUCGGACCUUUCGCGAUUGAAUGAGCCGAUGUCGGAUUAGCUAGUUGGCGGGGUAAAGGCCCACCAAGGCGACGAUCCGUAGCUGGUCUGAGAGGAUGAUCAGCCACACUGGAACUGAGACACGGUCCAGACUCCUACGGGAGGCAGCAGUGGGGAAUAUUGGACAAUGGGCGAAAGCCUGAUCCAGCCAUACCGCGUGGGUGAAGAAGGCCUUCGGGUUGUAAAGCCCUUUUGUUGGGAAAGAAAAGCAGCAGGUUAAUACCCCGCUGUUCUGACGGUACCCAAAGAAUAAGCACCGGCUAACUUCGUG